Molecule: ribosomal RNA, 253 nt
Filed under: uncultured bacterium
Lineage: Bacteria
Description: partial 16S ribosomal RNA
Rfam family: Bacterial small subunit ribosomal RNA
Source: RNAcentral
UACGUAGGGACCGAGCGUUGUCCGGAAUUACUGGGCGUAAAGGGCUCGUAGGCGGCCAACUAAGUCAGACGUGAAAUCCCUCGGCUUAACCGGGGAACUGCACCUGAUACUGGAUGGCUUGAGUUCGGGAGAGGGAUGCGGAAUUCCAGGUGUAGCGGUGAAAUGCGUAGAUAUCUGGAGGAACACCGGUGGCGAAGGCGGCAUCCUGGACCGACACUGACGCUGAGGAGCGAAAGCCAGGGGAGCAAACGGG